This 444-nucleotide ribosomal RNA is filed under the name uncultured bacterium. RNAcentral describes it as "bacterial SSU rRNA". It matches the Rfam family "Bacterial small subunit ribosomal RNA", at positions 354 to 796 of the family's 1533-position model. The record is from RNAcentral.
GUGAGGAAUAUUGGUCAAUGGCCGAGAGGCUGAACCAGCCAAGUAGCGUGCAGGACGACGGCCCUACGGGUUGUAAACUGCUUUUGCGGGAGGAUAAAGGACACUACGUGUAGUGUUUUGCAGGUAUCCCGUGAAUAAGGACCGGCUAAUUCCGUGCCAGCAGCCGCGGUAAUACGGAAGGUCCGGGCGUUAUCCGGAUUUAUUGGGUUUAAAGGGAGCGCAGGCGGACUGCUAAGCGUGCCGUGAAAGCGCGGGGCUCAACCCCGUACAGCGGCGCGAACUGGCGGUCUUGGUUGCGGGAAGGGGAGGCGGAACUCGUGGUGUAGCGGUGAAAUGCAUAGAUAUCACGAAGAACUCCGAUCGCGAAGGCAGCCUCCCGGCCCGCCAACGACGCUCAUGCUCGAAGGCGCGGGUAUCAAACAGGAUUAGAAACCCUAGUAGUCC